RNAcentral lists this transfer RNA (71 nucleotides) under Heliconius melpomene (postman butterfly). Its description in RNAcentral is "tRNA HMEL016711". It matches the Rfam family "tRNA". Rfam says of the family: Transfer RNA (tRNA) molecules are approximately 80 nucleotides in length. Their secondary structure includes four short double-helical elements and three loops (D, anti-codon, and T loops). The record is from RNAcentral. Lineage: Eukaryota; Metazoa; Arthropoda; Insecta; Lepidoptera; Nymphalidae.
UCAUCGGUGGUUCAGUGGUAAAAUGCUCGCCUGCCACGCUGGCGGCCCGGGUUCGAUUCCCGGCCGAUGCA